ACAGAGACACCGUUGGAGCUGCAACAGACUCUCUCUGUCUCUCCCUGGAGGAGGAUAUCUGCAUGAGCCACUCUCACGGAUUGCUGGAUAUCUGUCAGAACACCGCAGAUCACCUCGGUUCUGUAUUCCCUGUCAUCAAACUGGCCUCCGUCGGUCUUGGAGGCUGUGUUCGGUUCACCAUUGCCUGCUCGCCCAGCUCUGGUUCUGGUGCCCAUUCUGGACUCAGUCAGUUAAUAGGAUCGCUAAGUUAGCUGCAGGGCU
Micropterus dolomieu (smallmouth bass) is the source of this 261-nucleotide long non-coding RNA. RefSeq lists it as uncharacterized. Lineage: Eukaryota; Metazoa; Chordata; Actinopteri; Centrarchiformes; Centrarchidae. The record is from RefSeq and is a predicted model, not a curated record. The transcript is spliced from 2 exons.